GGGAUGUGAUGAGUGGUCGAUGCUCGCAAAUAAAAUAUGCGAGAAGGGUGUCACAGCCCAAAGCCUGGUUACGACAAUCUGGGCGCCUAGCUUUUACCAAUCUGAUCCC
Molecule: small nucleolar RNA, 109 nt
Filed under: Nicotiana sylvestris (wood tobacco)
Lineage: Eukaryota; Viridiplantae; Streptophyta; Magnoliopsida; Solanales; Solanaceae
Also listed under: 1 other name
Description: Small nucleolar RNA Z279/snoR105/snoR108
Rfam family: Small nucleolar RNA Z279/snoR105/snoR108
About the family: This family includes the plant snoRNAs known as Z279, snoR105 and snoR108.
Source: Rfam by way of RNAcentral